GGGCCCGCACAAGCAGUGGAGUAUGUGGUUUAAUUCGACGCAACGCGAAGAACCUUACCAGGGCUUGACAUCCUCUGACGGCUGUAGAGAUACAGCUUUCCCUUCGGGGACAGAGAGACAGGUGGUGCAUGGUUGUCGUCAGCUCGUGUCGUGAGAUGUUGGGUUAAGUCCCGCAACGAGCGCAACCCCUAUGGUCAGUUGCCAGCACAUCAAGGUGGGCACUCUGGCGAGACUGCCGUUGACAAAACGGAGGAAGGUGGGGACGACGUCAAAUCAUCAUGCCCCUUAUGUCCUGGGCUACACACGUACUACAAUGGCAACAACAGAGGGCAGCCAGGCCGCGAGGUUGAGCGAAUCCCAAAAUGUUGUCUCAGUUCAGAUUGCAGGCUGCAACUCGCCUGCAUGAAGUCGGAAUUGCUAGUAAUGGCAGGUCAGCAUACUGCCGUGAAUACGUUCCCGGGCCUU
This 465-nucleotide ribosomal RNA is filed under the name uncultured bacterium. RNAcentral's name for it is "bacterial SSU rRNA". It matches the Rfam family "Bacterial small subunit ribosomal RNA", at positions 917 to 1382 of the family's 1533-position model. The record is from RNAcentral.